RNAcentral lists this ribosomal RNA (155 nucleotides) under Nowakowskiella elegans. RNAcentral describes it as "5.8S ribosomal RNA". It matches the Rfam family "5.8S ribosomal RNA". From Rfam's summary of the family: 5.8S ribosomal RNA (5.8S rRNA) is a component of the large subunit of the eukaryotic ribosome. The record is from RNAcentral. Lineage: Eukaryota; Fungi; Chytridiomycota; Chytridiomycetes; Cladochytriales; Nowakowskiellaceae.
CAACUUUUAACAACGGAUCUCUUGGCUCUCGCAACGAUGAAGAACGCAGCGAAAUGCGAUAAGUAAUGUGAAUUGCAGAACUUCGUGAAUCAUCAAAUCUUUGAACGCACAUUGCGCUUUAUGGAAACAUAGAGCAUGCCUGUUUGAGUAUCAUU